UUUCAUCAUAACAAACUCUGACAAGAUGAAACCAAAAAGUUUCACCAUUUACCGCAGUUCUCGCCAUUUUCUUGCAACCGUGCCGAAUUAGAAAAGGAUAGCAUUACGCGAACUGGAAAACUUUUUGUAUAUCAAUGUAGCAAAAAUACAGAUGCCGGAAUUAUAACAAUCACUAAAGAUGAACAAAAAAUGUUCACAUCUCGUUGAGAACUUUGGUUCACAAGGCUGGUCAGUCGUCUCAUGGAAGCGUGUGGAGAUGCAAUAGAUUUGUUCCCAGGUUUGUCCCAGUAUACACUGCUUGAUCCUAGUUUCUCCGGAGUAAACAAGAGCGAAACAAAUACUCCUUUUCAUUCUGGUUUGCUGCCGUUGAGCCAAAGAACUCGCACCAUGUCCAGCCACCGGACCAACAAUGUUCAAUGAAAAUAUACGCCUCAAGUUACCUUUGUUGUGAAUGACCCAUUACUCUAUGCGUAUGAUUUUAACAGGAAUUCGUGUUGAGCACACAAUUAAAUUACAAAAAACACCUUGAACUCUGUGUGAAGAUAAGCGCAGAGCGUAAGGAAAAUCCAGAGUGAAAGUUGAUUCUUGAAAUAUCAACGUGCUUCCGAUCGAUGAUUACGCACAGUGAAACUUAAGUAUAUGCCGAAUUUAUCUGUUUGUAUUAUUUCAAAGAGCUUUAAAUUUAAAACAGAUGUAAACUGCGUUGACACCAGAUGGCAUGCGAAGGUGUAGAAGAACUGCUUAGACAUGGCUCUUGGUCACUAGCAGCAACAUUUUAGACUAACAUCAAUUAGGGAUGAAUUGAAGACAAAUGGCCAAUUGAGGUAUUAAGGCUUCGGAUUUGAUCAGCAAACGGGUGACGUUUUCGUGAUUCGCCUGAUCCCGGAGAUUGUAUGUGUACAUACUGUGGUGCUACAUACGAAUAUUGAUUCUGUACCUUGCUGGAAGAAGCUCAACCUCGUGUUGAAGUAAUAGGCAUUAGGUUUGUUCUAGUACACGGAAGUUGUCCCGGAAAGAAAAAAUGAACCCUAUCGGCAUAAAAUACGGUAUACGGGCAAUCUGGAAUCAUCAAAAUUUUCGUCGUUUUAAUAUUAUACAAAGCAAUGUUCUUGCUAAAUAUUACAAAAAAUGGUACACCAGUCCGUCGACACCAUUGACAGUCACAUCCGAUCUACACAUAAACUCAGUAAUCAUGAUGAGAAGCGUUUUAGCCCGUACAAACGAAUAGUCAUACACUCAACAGCAGGACUUCUGCUGCGUCGACGAUUAGUGUGAAGAAACAUCCACGACUUUUAUAGAGUUCCAGCACAAUUACACCAACGAGACGCCCGAACGAACGAUUUCGGGUAUCAUCCACAGCUAGUACUGUAACCUUUCUCCAGUGGGCAAAUCACAAACAGUACAAUUUGAUACCAUCGUCGACGAACUAGCAAUAGAACAGUGAACUCGCCAGAAUCUUGUCGUUUUUCAUUGAAAUACACUGGGGCGGUGAAUUGCAUUGGUUUUGCACAUUCUAGCAGAAGUGGGAAUGAACCACGUCUAGUGGCCUGCUCUUCAGCUAGAAAAGGCAACAUCAGUGCAAUCAAUGAAAUGAAAAACCCCAUUAGCAUAAUUAACCCUCCGGCACUCGCCGGAAUGGCUCCCCGAAUGAGCAGCCGCUGGUGCUGAAAGAUGAUUUCGCUAGUUUUGGAAGGUGUUACACAAAAUACAACGGCGCGAGUGCCGGAGGGUUAAGGCUAGUAUUGUAGCGAGUGAUUCGAAAGCAGCAGCACUGCUAACAUAACACAAGAAAAAACCAUUUAAUUGAUUAGGAUCAGAAAAUUUUGUUUAUUACGAUCAUUUCUCACUUCCUAACAAAACCCCCAUUCAACAAAAAGAAAAAUAUCAAUAAAGCAGCUAUAUUUUCCAA
Long non-coding RNA from Topomyia yanbarensis, 1909 nucleotides. RefSeq lists it as uncharacterized. The transcript has 3 exons. NCBI's taxonomy places the organism in Eukaryota, Metazoa, Arthropoda, Insecta, Diptera, Culicidae. The record is from RefSeq and is a predicted model, not a curated record.